RNAcentral lists this ribosomal RNA (1455 nucleotides) under metagenome. RNAcentral's name for it is "bacterial SSU rRNA". It matches the Rfam family "Bacterial small subunit ribosomal RNA". The record is from RNAcentral.
AGAGUUUGAUCCUGGCUCAGGACAAACGCUGGCGGCGUGCCUAAAACAUGCAAGUCGAACGGGUCACUUCGGUGGUCCGUGGCGGACGGCUGAGUAACACGUAGGUAACCUACCCUGGGGUGGGGAAUAACCCGCCGAAAGGCGGGCUAAUACCGCAUACGAUCCCUGGUCUCUGGAUUAGGGAGGAAAGUGGUGACAUGCCCGAGGAUGGGCCUGCGGCCGAUUAGCUAGUUGGUGGGGUAAGGGCCUACCAAGGCGAUGAUCGGUAGCUGGUCUGAGAGGAUGAUCAGCCAGACUGGGACUGGGACACGGCCCAGACUCCUACGGGAGGCAGCAGUUAGGAAUCUUGGGCAAUGGGCGCAAGCCUGACCCAGCAACGCCGCGUGGGUGACGAAGGCCUUCGGGUCGUAAAGCCCUUUUCCCGGGGAAGAUGAUGACGGUACCCGGGGAAUAAGCCCCGGCUAACUACGUGCCAGCAGCCGCGGUAAUACGUAGGGGGCGAGCGUUGUUCGGAUUUAUUGGGCGUAAAAGGCUUGUAGGCGGCCACCGCGCGUCGUGCGUGAAAUCUCCCGGCUCAACUGGGAGGGGUCGUGCGAUACGGCGGGGCUCGAGGCCGGUAGGGGGACGCGGAAUUCCCGGUGUAGUGGUGGAAUGCGUAGAUAUCGGGAGGGACACCAGUGGCGAAGGCGGCGUCCUGGACCGGUGCUGACGCUGAGGAGCGAAAGCGUGGGUAGCGAUCCGGAUUAGAUACCCGGGUAGUCCACGCCGUAAACGGUGCGCACUAGGUGUCGGGGGUAUCGACCCCCCCGGUGCCGCAGCUAACGCAGUAAGUGCGCUGCCUGGGGAGUACGGCCGCAAGGCUAAAACUCAAAGGAAUUGACGGGGGCCCGCACAAGCAGCGGAGCGUGUGGUUUAAUUCGAUGCAACGCGCAGAACCUCACCUAGGCUUGACAUGCCCCAAGUAGAACCCUGAAAGGGGAACGACUCGUCGAGGCGAGAGGGGGCACAGAUGCUGCAUGGCUGUCGUCAGCUCGUGCCGUGAGGUGUUGGGUUAAGUCCCGCAACGAGCGCAACCCUCGCUGGUAGUUACCAUGUCUACCGGGACCGCCGGUAUCAAACCGGAGGAAGGUGGGGAUGACGUCAAGUCAUCACGGCUCUUACGCCUAGGGCUACACACACGCUACAAUGGCCGGUACAAUGGGACGCCAAGGGGUGACCCGGAGCAAAUCCUAUCAAAGCCGGUCUCAGUUGGGAUUGCAGGCUGCAACUCGCCUGCAUGAACGCGGAGUUGCCAGUAACCGCAGGUCAGCACACUGCGGUGAAUACGUUCCCGGGCCUUGUACACACCGCCCGUCACGUCAUGAAAGUGGGAAACGCCUGAAGUCGGUGUGCCAACCGUAAGGAGGCAGCUGCCGAGGGCGGAGCUCGCGAUUGGGACGAAGUCGUAACAAGGUA